GCUGGGUAUGGUGGUGCACACUUGUAAUCCCAGUGACUUGGGAGGCUGAGACAGGAGGAUUGCAAGUUUGAGACCACCCUUAGCAACUAAAUGAGGAGAUCCUGUCUCAA
RNAcentral lists this small RNA (110 nucleotides) under Marmota monax (woodchuck). The record is from RNAcentral. Lineage: Eukaryota; Metazoa; Chordata; Mammalia; Rodentia; Sciuridae.